This is a long non-coding RNA of Rhododendron vialii, 516 nucleotides long. RefSeq lists it as uncharacterized. NCBI's taxonomy places the organism in Eukaryota, Viridiplantae, Streptophyta, Magnoliopsida, Ericales, Ericaceae. The transcript is spliced from 2 exons. The record is from RefSeq and is a predicted model, not a curated record.
UACUCUUUCCUUUUUUUCCUUUCUUUCUCUCGGCUCUCUCCCUCCACUUCUCUCCUCGAUUUCAUCUACUUAGAGCGUGAUUCCGAACAAAGCCCAAGAAUUAAAGUCGUUAUACGGCGCAUGGGCUUUCCGAAUAUCCAAGAAAAAUCAUGAUCGGACCGCGUGGGAGCUUGGUUGACUUGGUCAAAGGUUCGGGUUUUGCUCAAAACCCAUGAGGUACAAAAAUAAGGAAGUUGGCAUGGCGUGCAUAUCGUGCUUAUUGAUCAUGUCUUUCAAAGGUAUAAAAGAGGCGAUUAUUCGCAUUUGAUUCGAAAGGAGUAUUUUUGGAAAGACAUUUGUUAGAACUGUAAUAUUAUUUUCUUCGGACAUUGGUAUUUCUAUAACUUGGGGCCUCGAGCCAGGGAUGUACUCAUUGAAUUUUAUUUGAGAACAGUGAACAGAAAGGUCUUUUGGGGUAUUAUUUGUAUUACAGUGAGGACUUUAUUUAUUAAAAGUGUUUAUUAUUUAUGUCGAAAA